Molecule: ribosomal RNA, 561 nt
Filed under: Staphylococcus aureus
Lineage: Bacteria; Bacillati; Bacillota; Bacilli; Caryophanales; Staphylococcaceae
Description: bacterial SSU rRNA
Rfam family: Bacterial small subunit ribosomal RNA
Source: RNAcentral
AUUUUGAACCGCAUGGUUCAAAAGUGAAAGACGGUCUUGCUGUCACUUAUAGAUGGAUCCGCGCUGCAUUAGCUAGUUGGUAAGGUAACGGCUUACCAAGGCAACGAUGCAUAGCCGACCUGAGAGGGUGAUCGGCCACACUGGAACUGAGACACGGUCCAGACUCCUACGGGAGGCAGCAGUAGGGAAUCUUCCGCAAUGGGCGAAAGCCUGACGGAGCAACGCCGCGUGAGUGAUGAAGGUCUUCGGAUCGUAAAACUCUGUUAUUAGGGAAGAACAUAUGUGUAAGUAACUGUGCACAUCUUGACGGUACCUAAUCAGAAAGCCACGGCUAACUACGUGCCAGCAGCCGCGGUAAUACGUAGGUGGCAAGCGUUAUCCGGAAUUAUUGGGCGUAAAGCGCGCGUAGGCGGUUUUUUAAGUCUGAUGUGAAAGCCCACGGCUCAACCGUGGAGGGUCAUUGGAAACUGGAAAACUUGAGUGCAGAAGAGGAAAGUGGAAUUCCAUGUGUAGCGGUGAAAUGCGCAGAGAUAUGGAGGAACACCAGUGGCGAAGGCGACU